RNAcentral lists this long non-coding RNA (1274 nucleotides) under Oreochromis niloticus (Nile tilapia). RNAcentral describes it as "lncRNA (ENSONIG00000038193.1)". The stretch from base 38 to 330 matches the Rfam family "Metazoan signal recognition particle RNA". Lineage: Eukaryota; Metazoa; Chordata; Actinopteri; Cichliformes; Cichlidae. The record is from RNAcentral.
AUGAAAGUAAAACUUUCUGUGAACGCAGCUGCUUCUCGCUGGGUGCGGUGGCGCGUGCCUGUAAUCCAAGCUACCGGGAGGCUGAGGUUGGAGGAUCGUUUGAGCUCAGGAGCUCUGAGCUGCAGCAGGCUAUGUCGAUCGGGUGUCCGCACUAAGUUCGGCAUUGAUAUGGUGAUCCUGGGGGAGCCCGGGACCACCAGGUCGUCUAAGGAGGGGUGCCCAGGUCGGAGACGGAGCAGGUCAAAGCCCCCGUGUCGCUCAGUAGUGGGAUCACGCCUGUGAUUAGACGCUGUAGCGCAGCCUGAGCAAUACAGCGAGACCCAAUCUUUAUACACACCCUUAUACCUGUCACUACAUCACACAGCAUCCUCAUCAGCCCGUCUUUGUCUUUUUAAUUAACGUUAAACACGCUCACAAACCUGCUGCUCUGCUUGUCCUGCACCACCUCCACCUGCAGGACAGCUGCAAAUACAUCCUCCAUCCUAAACACUUCUGAUGCCCAGCAGGUGGAGACAAACUCAAACUAGGAAAUUCAUUCAGGUAACCUUUGGGUUUAAUAUUUGCAUCUUAUGAUCACAGCUUUGACUGUCAUGUAAAAAGGUAAUUUUUUUUUAGAAGUGAACUGUCCACAGCGGACAAGUCUGCACAUUUAGACAUUUACACAGUUACUGCGUGACUUCAGUACAGGCAUGAGUCAGGAUUUUGGGGUAAAGUAAAUGUUUUCUUUCUUCUGCACAUCAGCUGCGAUAACAGUCUAAAUAAUUGCAACUCCCCCAAGAAUGUAGAGAUGACAGCUGCACAACUAAGAGCUCUAUUUUUUUUUUUUUCAACUACUGUGCAAAUCAGCUGUUUCAUUCAAGAGUCAAAAGUGGGAUAAUAAGCCACACCCAGAAUGGUGACUGUGACUUGAAUGCAGCACCAUAGCCCGCCCGGGCAUCUUGACACCCCCUGCUAUACAGUUUUGUAACUUUAAUUAUUCCAAACAGCCGCCUAUGUAGUCUUAAUUGUUCAUAUCAUGCCCCACAUCAGUUAAAAAUGGUCAUAUAAACAUGUAAAUGGAAUUAUAGAAACUGUUGAAAAUUGGAGCGACAAAUAUGACAAUUACAAACAUUGUCAAAGUAACAAGCAUACUAACCUGAUCAGACUUCAAAAAAAGACACAGGAUGGCCAAGCGACCACAGGUGCUGUGUUUAGGCUGCAGUCUCUCCUGGAAUUGUGCGUUCAAAUCCCACUUCCUUCAGCCAGUUUACUGAAUGAAGAUGUUAUGCGCAGUC